This 92-nucleotide ribosomal RNA is filed under the name Duganella levis. RNAcentral's name for it is "partial 23S ribosomal RNA". The stretch from base 1 to 74 matches the Rfam family "Bacterial large subunit ribosomal RNA", at positions 2852 to 2925 of the family's 2925-position model. Lineage: Bacteria; Pseudomonadati; Pseudomonadota; Betaproteobacteria; Burkholderiales; Oxalobacteraceae. The record is from RNAcentral.
GUUGAUAGGUCAGGUGUGGAAGUGCAGUAAUGCAUUAAGCUAACUGAUACUAAUUGCCCGUACGGCUUGUCCCUAUAACCUUGACGGUUAUA